Molecule: ribosomal RNA, 253 nt
Filed under: uncultured bacterium
Lineage: Bacteria
Description: partial 16S ribosomal RNA
Rfam family: Bacterial small subunit ribosomal RNA
Source: RNAcentral
UACGGAGGGGGCGAGCGUUAUUCGGAAUUAUUGGGCGUAAAGGGCGCGUAGGCGGCCGGAUAAGUCAAAGGUGAAAUCCCUCGGCUCAACUGAGGAACUGCCUUUGAAACUGUUUGGCUCGAGUCCGGGAGGGGGUAGCGGAAUUCCCAGUGUAGCGGUGAAAUGCGCAGAUAUCAGGAGGAACACCUAUUGCGAAGGCAGCUCGCUGGGACGUAACUGACGCUGAGACGCGAAAGCGUGGGGAGCAAACAGG